GACGAACGCUGGCGGCGUGCUUAACACAUGCAAGUCGAGCGGUAAGGCCCUUUCGGGGUACGACGAGCGGCGAACGGGUGAGUAACACGUGGGUGACCUGCCCUCAGCUCUGGGAUAAGCCUGGGAAACCGGGUCUAAUACCGGAUAUGACUCCAUGACGCAUGUUGUGGGGUGGAAAGCCUUGUGCGGCUGAGGAUGGGCCCGCGGCCUAUCAGCUUGUUGGUGGGGUGAUGGCCUACCAAGGCGACGACGGGUAGGCCGGCC
This 264-nucleotide ribosomal RNA is filed under the name uncultured bacterium. Its description in RNAcentral is "partial 16S ribosomal RNA". It matches the Rfam family "Bacterial small subunit ribosomal RNA", at positions 28 to 293 of the family's 1533-position model. The record is from RNAcentral.